Molecule: non-coding RNA, 605 nt
Organism: Pelobates cultripes (western spadefoot toad)
Lineage: Eukaryota; Metazoa; Chordata; Amphibia; Anura; Pelobatidae
Source: the annotation of a GenBank genome assembly
AUUGCCUCCCACCCCACCUAUAACAUGACAUAUCCCUCUGUCACAAAAAAGGCAAUGUAGCGGAAUGGGCAUGUGCAAGUUACUUUUUAUUCCCUACAGUGGCUGUCCUUAUCUUCUCCCCUUGUUAUUUUGUGUGUUUUGCCGGUUAUUUCGUGUGGUUCUCCUUUGGCCGUUCGGGAGACUUCAUACGAAUGGAAUCCAUUCGUCUCCCGAGCAAGGACCACCCCUGUACCCCAUUAGAACGUUAACACCAACCACUUAAGUGCGAAACCGCAAGGGAAACAAUUAAUGAAUGCACUCUUGGGUGGCCGCCAUUAUGUGUAACCAAACACGUGGCUGGGAGAAUCGCGGCAAUAUUGUCUCCUCCGAACGAGGGCAGCGGUACUUGGUUGUCGAGUGCCUGGAACUAUUUUCGGCUUGGCGCGAACACCGGUAAACUGCCGACCACCUACACAGGAACCUCACGAACAGAGACCGGCCAGGGCACCUAAUCUCCUGGAACUAUUCUCGACUACCACCUCGUGUCUGGCCAGUCAAAUCUUCACGAUGCCAUUCCCAUUCUACCGAACCGAUCUGAGUGAUUCUUGGAUAUGUUGGUCUCUCAG